This 535-nucleotide long non-coding RNA is filed under the name Phoenix dactylifera (date palm). RNAcentral describes it as "long non-coding RNA (PDAC_LNC022278)". The record is from RNAcentral. Lineage: Eukaryota; Viridiplantae; Streptophyta; Magnoliopsida; Arecales; Arecaceae.
GGUGAAUUGGUUUCUUUUAAAUUUAAACUAUCUUACUCAAGUCAAAUGGAUGGUUAGUAAGCUAAAGCAAAUCACAACACAAACAACACAAAGUAUAGUGGUUCGGUGCUCUCCUUAGCACCUACGACCACUCCCCAAGCGACCCCUUGGGAAUUCACUAUAAUCUCGCGGAUUACAGUUGGAUUGUUUUCCGGGCUCACAAUCCAAAAACCUUUGUUGGUUUUACGGGCUCACCAACGAACCUUUACACUUUGGUUUUCUGGGUUCACCAAAAACCUUUGUUGGUUUUACGGGCUCACCAACGAACCUUUACAAUUAGUUUUCCGGGUUCACCAAUCAACCUACUCCGUUGGUUUUCCGGGCUCACCAACCAACCUUUACAAGUUGUUUAACAAAUAAAGAAAGAAGAUUUAAACUCCUAAAUGAGCAAAUGAAACAAUAUAAACUACAAAGAAGAGUAUAGAAAAUAUUUAUCGCUUUGAAGUGGCUUCUCUCUUCUUUGUCAAGGAUGCUUCACUCUACAAGGGAGGAUGGA